Molecule: ribosomal RNA, 2900 nt
Filed under: Klebsiella pneumoniae
Lineage: Bacteria; Pseudomonadati; Pseudomonadota; Gammaproteobacteria; Enterobacterales; Enterobacteriaceae
Description: bacterial LSU rRNA
Rfam family: Bacterial large subunit ribosomal RNA
Source: RNAcentral
UUAAGCGACUAAGCGUACACGGUGGAUGCCCUGGCAGUCAGAGGCGAUGAAGGACGUGCUAAUCUGCGAAAAGCGUCGGUAAGGUGAUAUGAACCGUUAUAGCCGGCGAUGUCCGAAUGGGGAAACCCAGUGCAAUUCGUUGCACUAUCGUUAACUGAAUACAUAGGUUAACGAGGCGAACCGGGGGAACUGAAACAUCUAAGUACCCCGAGGAAAAGAAAUCAACCGAGAUUCCCCCAGUAGCGGCGAGCGAACGGGGAGCAGCCCAGAGUCUGAAUCAGCUUGUGUGUUAGUGGAACGGUCUGGAAAGUCCGACGGUACAGGGUGAUAGUCCCGUACACCAAAAUGCACAGGCUGUGAACUCGAAGAGUAGGGCGGGACACGUGGUAUCCUGUCUGAAUAUGGGGGGACCAUCCUCCAAGGCUAAAUACUCCUGACUGACCGAUAGUGAACCAGUACCGUGAGGGAAAGGCGAAAAGAACCCCGGCGAGGGGAGUGAAAAAGAACCUGAAACCGUGUACGUACAAGCAGUGGGAGCACCUUCGGGUGUGACUGCGUACCUUUUGUAUAAUGGGUCAGCGACUUAUAUUCUGUAGCAAGGUUAACCGUAUAGGGGAGCCGCAGGGAAACCGAGUCUUAACUGGGCGUUAAGUUGCAGGGUAUAGACCCGAAACCCGGUGAUCUAGCCAUGGGCAGGUUGAAGGUUGGGUAACACUAACUGGAGGACCGAACCGACUAAUGUUGAAAAAUUAGCGGAUGACUUGUGGCUGGGGGUGAAAGGCCAAUCAAACCGGGAGAUAGCUGGUUCUCCCCGAAAGCUAUUUAGGUAGCGCCUCGUGAAUUCAUCUUCGGGGGUAGAGCACUGUUUCGGCUAGGGGGUCAUCCCGACUUACCAACCCGAUGCAAACUACGAAUACCGAAGAAUGUUAUCACGGGAGACACACGGCGGGUGCUAACGUCCGUCGUGAAGAGGGAAACAACCCAGACCGCCAGCUAAGGUCCCAAAGUCAUGGUUAAGUGGGAAACGAUGUGGGAAGGCACAGACAGCCAGGAUGUUGGCUUAGAAGCAGCCAUCAUUUAAAGAAAGCGUAAUAGCUCACUGGUCGAGUCGGCCUGCGCGGAAGAUGUAACGGGGCUAAACCAUGCACCGAAGCUGCGGCAGCGACACUAUGUGUUGUUGGGUAGGGGAGCGUUCUGUAAGCCUGCGAAGGUGACCUGUGAGGGUUGCUGGAGGUAUCAGAAGUGCGAAUGCUGACAUAAGUAACGAUAAAGCGGGUGAAAAGCCCGCUCGCCGGAAGACCAAGGGUUCCUGUCCAACGUUAAUCGGGGCAGGGUGAGUCGACCCCUAAGGCGAGGCCGAAAGGCGUAGUCGAUGGGAAACAGGUUAAUAUUCCUGUACUUGGUGUUACUGCGAAGGGGGGACGGAGAAGGCUAUGUUAGCCGGGCGACGGUUGUCCCGGUUUAAGCAUGUAGGCUGGUUGUCCAGGCAAAUCCGGAUAAUCAAGGCUGAGGUGUGAUGACGAGGCACUACGGUGCUGAAGUAACAAAUGCCCUGCUUCCAGGAAAAGCCUCUAAGCAUCAGGUAACAUCAAAUCGUACCCCAAACCGACACAGGUGGUCAGGUAGAGAAUACCAAGGCGCUUGAGAGAACUCGGGUGAAGGAACUAGGCAAAAUGGUGCCGUAACUUCGGGAGAAGGCACGCUGGUGUGUAGGUGAAGCCCCUGCGGGUGGAGCUGAGACCAGUCGAAGAUACCAGCUGGCUGCAACUGUUUAUUAAAAACACAGCACUGUGCAAACACGAAAGUGGACGUAUACGGUGUGACGCCUGCCCGGUGCCGGAAGGUUAAUUGAUGGGGUUAUCCGUAAGGAGAAGCUCUUGAUCGAAGCCCCGGUAAACGGCGGCCGUAACUAUAACGGUCCUAAGGUAGCGAAAUUCCUUGUCGGGUAAGUUCCGACCUGCACGAAUGGCGUAAUGAUGGCCAGGCUGUCUCCACCCGAGACUCAGUGAAAUUGAACUCGCUGUGAAGAUGCAGUGUACCCGCGGCAAGACGGAAAGACCCCGUGAACCUUUACUAUAGCUUGACACUGAACAUUGAGCCUUGAUGUGUAGGAUAGGUGGGAGGCUUUGAAGCGUGGACGCCAGUCUGCGUGGAGCCAACCUUGAAAUACCACCCUUUAAUGUUUGAUGUUCUAACGUUGGCCCCUGACCGGGGUUGCGGACAGUGUCUGGUGGGUAGUUUGACUGGGGCGGUCUCCUCCCAAAGCGUAACGGAGGAGCACGAAGGUUAGCUAAUCCUGGUCGGACAUCAGGAGGUUAGUGCAAUGGCAUAAGCUAGCUUGACUGCGAGCGUGACGGCGCGAGCAGGUGCGAAAGCAGGUCAUAGUGAUCCGGUGGUUCUGAAUGGAAGGGCCAUCGCUCAACGGAUAAAAGGUACUCCGGGGAUAACAGGCUGAUACCGCCCAAGAGUUCAUAUCGACGGCGGUGUUUGGCACCUCGAUGUCGGCUCAUCACAUCCUGGGGCUGAAGUAGGUCCCAAGGGUAUGGCUGUUCGCCAUUUAAAGUGGUACGCGAGCUGGGUUUAGAACGUCGUGAGACAGUUCGGUCCCUAUCUGCCGUGGGCGCUGGAGAAUUGAGGGGGGCUGCUCCUAGUACGAGAGGACCGGAGUGGACGCAUCACUGGUGUUCGGGUUGUCAUGCCAAUGGCACUGCCCGGUAGCUAAAUGCGGAAGAGAUAAGUGCUGAAAGCAUCUAAGCACGAAACUUGCCCCGAGAUGAGUUCUCCCUGAGACUUUAAGUCUCCUGAAGGAACGUUGAAGACGACGACGUUGAUAGGCCGGGUGUGUAAGCGCAGCGAUGCGUUGAGCUAACCGGUACUAAUGAACCGUGAGGCUUAACCUU